CAGCCGCCGCGGGAAUACGAGGGGGGCAAGCGUUGUUCGGAAUUAUUGGGCGUAAAGGGUGCGUAGGCGGCCCCGCAAGUCUCAUGUGAAAUCUUCAGGCUCGACUUGAAGUCUGCAUGGGAAACUGCGGGGCUGGAGUAUGGGAGAGGUGAGUGGAAUUCCUGGUGUAGCAGUGAAAUGCGUAGAGAUGUGGAGGAAUACCGAUGGCGAAGGCAGCCCCCUGGGCCAAUACUGACGCUCAUGCACGAAAGCGUGGGGAGCAAACAGGAUUAGAUACCCGCGUAGUCCCUGUCUCUUAUAC
This 301-nucleotide ribosomal RNA is filed under the name uncultured bacterium. Its description in RNAcentral is "partial 16S ribosomal RNA". It matches the Rfam family "Bacterial small subunit ribosomal RNA", at positions 509 to 807 of the family's 1533-position model. The record is from RNAcentral.